This is a long non-coding RNA of Amphibalanus amphitrite, 706 nucleotides long. RefSeq lists it as uncharacterized. The record is from RefSeq and is a predicted model, not a curated record. The transcript is spliced from 3 exons. Lineage: Eukaryota; Metazoa; Arthropoda; Thecostraca; Balanomorpha; Balanidae.
UUUUUUCAAUUCCAGAGUUAUGUUCCGGCUCUUUAUGGGUAUGCCUCUUGGGACGCCUGACGAAAACAACAACAGCCAUGUAGGAGUUAUGUUCCGGCUCUUUAUGGGUAUGCCUCUUGGGACGCCUGACGAAAACAACAACAGCCAUGUAGGAGUUAUGUUCCGGCUCUUUAUGGGUAUGCCUCUUGGGACGCCUGACGAAAACAACAACAGCCAUGUAGGGUAAGUAAGAAUUUAUGACCUUUCCUCGUAAAAUAUAAAUUAGCAAAAAGGAUAUAUUGAUAUUGAUAUUUCGAUCACAGAUCUUCGUCGGAAUUGUUAACAAAAGACAGAAUAAGAAUACAUUUCUUGUCUGCUCCUUUCUUUAUCUCCUAUUUCACUAUUCGUUAUCACGAGCAAUUAAAUCUAAAGUACAUCCAUUUUUCAAAUCAUGAUAACUUUUAGUCGACAUACGAAUACAAGUAACUGAAAUUUGUUAAGCCUAAUUAACAAACUUCUUACAUUAGAAAAUACAAAUCAAAAUCCUAAAUUGGCGCACUGCAUUCUAACACUCAUCUACAUAAACGAGACAGGUACAUCCAGUGACACACAUCCAUACACUUACAUAAUAGGCCAAGACGAUACAUUCGAGUUCAGUUCCGGUCUGCGUUUUCUAAUCAAAAUAGACUCUGCGAUUUUGCGAUCUGGGUGAUCCGUUGCCCUAUAU